Long non-coding RNA from Gallus gallus (chicken), 908 nucleotides. Lineage: Eukaryota; Metazoa; Chordata; Aves; Galliformes; Phasianidae. The record is from Ensembl.
UGGAAGGAUACUAUAUGCCCUUAAGUAAAGGAGAAUGAUCUGUCUGCAAGAAAUGUUCCAUUUUCUCCAGCUGGCAACAACAGCAAUGAAGAUACAGCUGUAAUUCAGGAGAGAGAAUUUUUGGACAGGAGUGCUAUUCUUCAGUUGCCUAUGAAGGUGUCCUUCUUCAUUAUACCAUUCUUUGGACUGGAGGUUUCUGGUUGGCCCUUCACUCUGCUCAAGCUUCUGUUCUGAUUCUCACUCUGACCUCUGCAGUGGGUGUUCAGACACUUAUUCCCAGUUUGGACUUCUCAAAUCAGAUACUGAAUCCAGAUCCAUGUUUCUCCCAUGAGGCACCUUGAAAAUUAGGUAGAUGAGAAGACCUCUUGAGAGUACUCAACUCAUCUGUUUUGAGAUGUUUCUGCAAAAUAUGAAUCCAACUAUAUGUAAGACCUUCAAAGAAAUCAGUGCUGUUUUCUGUCAUGGUGGCUAAAGGAUAACUUCUUUUCUGUUGAAUUUUUGAACAAAGACAUACUUUUGUCUCUGCCAUAAGAAGAAGAGUCUGGAUCACAGAUCCCACCUCAGAAGCUCCCAGCAAUUGUGACUAUAGAGUCAGGGAUUCUUCACUGGUUUUGGUUAUGGGGCCGUUCUUACCCUGAGAUGUGGAAGUUCGAAAGAAAUUAAGGGCUGUGGUAUAACCACAAUGGAUAGUGCUCCUCAGGAUAAUCUGAUUUACAUCUCUUUGGUGUUUAUGCCUGCUAAGAACAGGACAACAUGGCCUGCACACAGCAAAGAAGCACAGCUACUGCAUGCUCAACUCUGCUUUUGGCAGCUACAGCCAGUUCCAAGGAGUUGUUGGGAGAUUCCUGUGUCUGCUCCAAAGGUAUUGCUUGUGGUUUUAUUAUUAUGUCAGAGUUUUGGAAAAGGUG